Gallus gallus (chicken) is the source of this 14417-nucleotide long non-coding RNA. NCBI's taxonomy places the organism in Eukaryota, Metazoa, Chordata, Aves, Galliformes, Phasianidae. The record is from Ensembl.
CUCUCCUCUCCUCUCCUCUCCUCUCCUCUCCUCUCCUCUCCUCUCCUCUCCUCUCCUCUCCUCUCCUCUCCUCUCCUCUCCUCUCCUCUCCUCUCCUCUCCUUUUUUUUUUUUUUUUUCAUUUGGUGGACAAUACAGAACAUCUCCAAACGUAUUGUUUCAAGUAAAUUCCCUUCAACUUUUCUAUUUGAGAUGACUGGAUUCCAGCUCCUGAUGAAAGACUGUUUUCUGAAGUGAGAUCUGAACCAAAGGCCAUUCACAAUCUUCAUAGAAACAUUUCUAUUACUGUUAAAUUUGAUAACAGCUUGUUUUUAUAAAAUAAGACAUUGAUGCCAAAUUGGAUCUGGCAAUCUCAUUUAAAGAGGUGUUAUUCUAGAUAUAAAUAGGAAAUGUUUAGACUACUGAUCCCGUGAUUAAUGAAUGUUUCCACAUCCACAUAGCAGCCAAUUUUCCCUUUCCUUGGAGAUUACUCCAUAACAUGAUUUAGAGGAGGGUCAAAACUUCGGAGCCUCCAUGCUGAAGUAUAUGAAAAAUAACAUUUCUGUGGAAAUACUGGCAUGUUUUUCUCCCUUUGAAAUCAAAUCCAGGUAUUCAAACUUACUCCAGUGGGAGUGGAAACCAAGACAAAGUCUUCUGAAAGAUUUUAGUUCACGCUUCUUUUUUUUUUUUGAGGGCCAAGGAAGUUUUCCUUUGCAAGAAUUUUCAGAUUUCCUUAAGUUCAUUCAUAGAAAAUCACUCCAAAUAUCUUGACUACAGACUACAAAAAACUCUUUCCUUCCUCUUAGACACCCUUAAUUUUUUUCCUUUUUUUUUCUCUUAGACACCCUAAAUUUUUUCCGGACAGGGGAAAAAAAGUGAACUUAGUAGUUCAAAAACGUAUUGUGUGGAUCUAGCUAGACACUCCCAUUAGUCUUUAGGCUACCCAUCUAAUUGCCUGAUCUAAUUGUCUGACCAGAGUACCAAUUUAGAAUAACAAUAAGACGGGGCAGAACUUGCUAACUAGUACAUACUGUCCCCAGACCAGCAAACCAAGGAAAAGAGAAAAAUACAGUGUUUAUGUCAACCUCUAUAUUCUCUCUGCAAGGUCAUAGAAACCUCAAGCACCCAAGAGAGACCAGGGCCAUCAGGACAGUUGUUUAACUUAACACUUUCAGUUUGAAGCCAAGCUUAUCAAUAUUCAUUUGUUGGAACUUCUGAGAAGGAGAAACUUCACUGACCAGAGGAUCUUCAGGCAAAUUGAAAAGAAAAAUCAGAUGGAGAAAACAUACCAGUGAUUUUCUCAUGAGCUCACAGGCAAGUUUAGACUUACCCUUGAGAGCCAGCCAGGUGUUCUGGAGCUUCUGCGAGGUGUCAGGAUCUCUCUGCUUUUGCUGGAAGCAGCAGAAAUAGGCAGGACUCCACAGGAGAUAGGAUUACAGUUCAGCGUCUGGUUUUCUUUCCUCUGAACUCUUUGGAGAGGUUUUGCUUCUGUUUUAUCAAGCUCAAUACUGUUUUUCUCCUGCUUCCGCCAUAUGCAGGGCAUUGAGUUCUCCAGUAGCUCUUCAUCUUAUGAGGAGUGGAAAUCUCUGUACAAACACUCGCCUAUACCAUAAAGGCCUUCUGAGGUAAUUACUUGGCAGAAAGACUCUCUUAUGUAAGAGCAGUUGCCCUAACCUAAAGUGUUUCUACUUCAUAGUUUUCAGGACUGAAGGGUGUUUAAAGUUAAUAACUCACUGUGUAAUAGUUAGCUUGCAAAAAUGCAGUUGUUCAUAUGUGGAAUGUUCAUAUUUUCCUUAGCAAAAUAAAUAAAUCAACCAGAUGUGGCAGAUAGGAGCAUCUUUGCUACUGUCUAGUAGACAGGGAAAAGCUAUAUAUAAUACACAGCUUCAUUCUGUAGGAAUAUAUGUAUAAUAUAUAUAAUGUGUAUUUAUUGUGCGUUGUACCUAAGUACUAAGUUACUUUCAUUAAGAACAUGACCUCAAGUUUUCUGCAGUCCCCGAAACUGCUACUGGCCCAAACGUCUUUGGGUAGUUACAAGACUCAAAUAUUUAAGUUUAGAAGUCUCCAGUGAAGUCCAUGUAAUUAAGAACUCAAUGAAAACCUCAUGGUUAUGCAAACUCUGAGCAGGGCACAAGCACUCUGAAAGUCUGGUUCAUUUCUUGAGGUGCGUAGUCUUAAGCCACUACUUCUCUGAGUCUAACCAAAAGACUACCUCACCCAUUUGAAAUACAGUUGUCCUCAUGGUCACACUGACUUUAUUCACUACCAAGUAAAUAAACUACUCCAUGUUUAUUGCUUUUCUUGCAUGUGUGGGAAUGUGUUUACUUACAUUUCCUUAUUUAUUUUGUGAUCAAUUUGUAUUUCCUGAAGCAACAGCUUUCAGAUUCAAACCUGGAUGUUUCCUGUACAAUCAGCCAAUAUUCAAGGCAUAGGCAAGUUUUUGCUCCCCUGUUUAAAGGUAAUAGCUGUGCUGUAUGUUUUUGUAUCAUAAUUUCAAGUACAGACAGUAACUUGCUUAACUACUUACCAGUAGACUGUCUUCAUCUUCUAAUUUGAGCAGCUUGUACCAUCAAGCUUAGUACAAGCAGCCAUGCAAGCAUAGUUCUUGGCAACACAGAUACAGGAAUGACUGCAGAAGUUGGAAUCUGGCUUUAAGAACAGGGCUACAUGACUACAUGUACAGGCACAUAGUUAUUUAUCUGUAAAGAAACAAAAUUAAAGAUAAGUUUACUCAUCUGUGGAAAAUUUGCAACCAAAUAUAUUUGGAUAUUCAUGCUCCAGUUACUUCCUGAAUAAUACCUAAUAUUGUCUACAGAUAUCUAUAUAUAAAAUUUGACCACGUAUACAUUUAUUUGAGUCCUUUAGUAGGAUUAUUACUGUAGCUUGGUGAAACUUGAAUCAUAGGCUGCAGUGGAAUGGCACAAACUGUAUUACAAUUAGCUUUUGUUGUUGUUGUUGUUUAAAAAAGGAAAUAUUAAAAACUGCUUGCAAUCCUGGGGUUUGUUUUGGAUUAAAAACAAAACAAAACAAAACAAAACCUAAAAAAAAAAAAAAAAAAAAAGAAAGAAAGAAAAGGAAACUUGAGAGGAUCUUUAUUCUUUCAUUCAUUCUGGUAGAUACUGCUAAGCCUGAUUUUGGUUUGGUUUGGCCUUUGGUUUAACUAUCUGACCUCCCUUUCUUGCAAGAGGUUAUGGGAAUCUUUUUCCAUUAACAGAUCCAGCUUUUAACCUCAGCACAGUUGAAACUGUGCCUAAGGUUACAUUCUUAGGGAGAAACUGAGUGAGAUUAUCACUUCUAUGAGUAUCUAUAGCAGCUACUCCUCACUGCUGGGAGCUCUCAUCCACAUAGAAAUCUCCACAGCAGAUCUGUUAGCCAAGAACACACAUCUCAGAAAGCAAGUCCUCCCUGUGACUGUCUUUGGUAAAUCCAUGCAUUAAGGUAGCUGUAUAGAGAGAUCUUCACUCUAAAGUACGCAUUCUGAUAAUAUGGAACGACAUCAAGUCUGCACAACACAAUGUGCUGCUAGAGACCUGAGCUGGCACUAUGGAGCUCAUACACUAAGUCUACGUGAAACCAUCUGGGGAAAUAGAUUUGCCAUUUCAUCUCCUAGCAGAGUACUUAGUCCAAGAGUUAGGAUCCAGUUGUUUUAGCUGGCAGAGCUAGCUAAAGUUUUCUCCAUGCCCUCUGCACUGUACUGUGUGUGUAUGCAUGUGCACCCUUUGAGCUCAGAUGCCUACAGCUCCUUCCAGUUCAUACCUCAACUUGUGGUUAGCAUAAUCCUAAAUAACAAACAGAAGGAUUCAGUAGAAUCAAAUUCAGACCUCAUUUUAGGUCCAAUUCUGGUAAUUUUGACCCAUUCUCCAGGUAAAUUCACCACAGAGCACAGAAAAUGCUACAUGUGUUACCAAACAUUAAAGUAUACCACAGUAAAUAAAGUAUAUAUGAUAAUCUAUGCAGAAAAUAAAUUAAUAUCAAGUCCCCAUAGAGAGCCUUGGAAAAGUAAUAUAAAUAUUUUGAGCUUUGCUGCAAGCUGAACGAAGUCAUCUGAAGAAGCAACAGCAUCAGAUAUGCUUUGGCAAGAUUUUUUAGGGAGCACUGGCAGAUGCAUGAAUUGUGGGAAGAGUAGGGCUGAGCACAAAAAACGGGUGGCAGGGCACAUCAUCCAGUGCUCAGAUCCCACAGUGCUGAAGGAGGUGAACAGAGUGGACCUGGAAAGGGUAUCCAAGCUCAACAUAGCAUCCAGAAUGAUUGGGUAGGUUCAUGGUAAUACAGAAGGCCUGAGGUCAAGCCAAGAAGUAAAUUCACAGGUCAGGACAAGGAUCAGAUUUGGAGAGGGCACAGUGAUGAGGUAUAAAGAGUCAGUUCAUCUGAAACCCAUCAUCGGCUGGAAUUAUUAUGCAUUUUAUUUAUAGUACGUAUAAUAUUCAUAAUAUUUAAAAUCUGUGUAUUGUAAGUACUUAGUGAAAUUAUAACAUAUUUUAAUGCAAUAAAGAUAUACUGUAAAUUUUACUUAACUGUUUUUAUUCUGCAGCUGUACUUUGCUGCUCUCUCUGCUUUCUUCUCAGCCUCCAUUCACUCUCAUACUGACACUGGAAGACAAUUCAUUGUCAGUAACAGAACAAAACAUUUCUUUCUCCAUGCUCUUAUAACACUGUUCUUAGACCAUACCAUUGUUCUCAGUGCAUUGAGCUGAUCUGAUGCAUUACUGUUCAUGCUUGAUUGGCCAUAGGUCACACAAGAAGGCUCUUCAAUCAGCAAAUAUUUUUAUGCAGGCUCAAGUCAAAAGCUGUUUCAGAAACAGAGAUGUUAUAACAGGUCAAAUCUAUCACAUGUUCUGGCUUCACUGCAUGCUCUGAAGAAGGUGGAUAUCAAAAUAUUCAGCCAUGACCCUUACAAUGGGUGUCUUCUUGAAUACCGCAAGUUAUGCUGCAGCAUAGAUAAACAGAAGAAAAUGGGUCAAAAGAAAAAAAAAAAGAAAAAAAGAACAGUAAAAAACUAUUUUAUCUCUGAAUUUCAAAAAAAUUUAGAGCAGAUUUGUUGUGUGGCACACACCUUUUUAACUUUUGGUCUGUGUUCCCUCUAGCAUUUCUGGUUUGUUCAGCUCUCCAAAUAGUAAAGCAACGUGACACUUGACAUAACAGUUACAGGCAGUAGUCUCCUUUCAGAGUCCUGUUCAGAUUUAAACUAAGAAUUGAGAAUGCAUAUGAAUUAUUGCAAAGAUUCUAUUGUUGACAUGCAAGUAUGCUCCAAAAUGGUUCUGGGCACCUGUCUCUCUUUAGGUCCUGUGUUUCUAUGACACAUAUACUGGGUGUCUAGCAUUAGUCUAGAAGGCUCUGUGCCAGGUUAGUAUACGUGUAGACUGAAGGCUAAAUCUGAAAGGAAAUGGAAAACUUACGAUUUGUAAAUAUACUUUUUUUUUUUUUUUCAUUAAAUAAAAUGUGGACUUGAAGAGAUACUGUUUGUAUCUACUGUAUAUCCUUGCAGGGGCUGCUCCAUUCAGAUGGGGCACAGUGGAAAGUAUUGGCAGAAAUCAUUGUGAAAUUGCACUGAUUUCUAUUCACAGCAAACACAGUUGCAGAAAUAUAAGCCAAGUAGGGUGAGUGCUAGUCUAUUUUUCCUGCUGAGUGUGACCUCCAUUUUCACUGGAUGAUUUCUACUUCUGAAGCUUGUGGCAUUUUGCAUGACACUGAGAUGGGAACUUCAUUAGCUCAGCAACUUUCUGUUGCCCAUAAAUUCCCUAUGUAGAAUGACAUCCCCGAUUCCUUGUUAGGAAAUGAUCUGCAGAGCUUGUUUGUUCUGUCAGAGAUUUGCAUGCAAGUUCAAAUUUAGCUACUCAUCUCCUCACCUUCCUGUCUGCUCAGAUCAUGUAUCUGGAAAGAACAAUAGCCUGUCAGCUGCUAUGGGCCGAUGCUCUUUUCUAAUCUGGAGAAAGCAGACAGUUACCCAGGAGCAGAAUGUUUUUCCCAGUGCCAUUUUAUUUCUGUACUCAGUUUGUCUGCUGAUUACAUUUUGAACAUGCCCUUUCAUAUUAAGGACUGUUACUCAUGCAUGGCCUAUGCUUAGCAUCUCAAAGUUAGGAGCAAAGUUUCACUAAUGUACAUUUCAGUGUCUUAUGAGUUACUAAUAAGGAAAUAUUUUAGUGAGGCAUAGUCAGAGAGAUUUUCAGGUAACAUAUAUUCCACACAGAGGUUAAAAGAGAAAAAAGAAGAGACAAAAUACUCAUACUUUGCGAAGCCCUUCCUGUUCAUGCUGUUGUUGAGAAAACCUCUCCUGUUCUAUAUCCAGAGACUGGAAAACUAAAAAGGUAAUGAUAAUGGGCUUUAAACUGCAUCCACAUCAAAGGAGCUCAAACCUUAAGGAAAACUUCCUUGUAGGAAAAACAGUGAUGCAGUACUGCGGUUAAGCAACAGUAACUGUGGAAAGUCCACUUUUGGAAGCUUUCAAGAACAGGUUAGGCAAAUAUUUGUCAGGAUUAACAAAUGCUCUGUCUUGAGCAAAUGUUUUGUCCUGCCCCGGGAAAAAGAGGACUGAACAUUCCCUCCAAUGCUUUUAUUUUUAUUUUUAUUUUUUUGUAGGAUUACUCUGAUUCUUUAUGUUAUAGCAAAUGUAAUUCAUGGCCUGGAAAAUCUGCCUUCAUUUAUGGAGAUUAAAAAGAGAUUGACUUACUAUAUUUGUGAAAGAGAUCAGAAACUCCUCUGGGUUAUCUUUUAGCACAUGCCAUAAGGAGAAGAUUUCUCAUUUCACCUGGAAGACAAUUUGAUCUAUCAAAGCUCCAGACAGGUGUUGUUGGUGGGAAGGUAUACUUAGGAACAAUAAAAAAUAAAAUAAAAUGUGUAUUUAACUAGUGUACCAUCACUAGAGACUUGAUGGCAUGUUCACACUAGCACUUGAGGUGGUAUUUCUGUGUGAAAAUCUGUUGUUUAGGUUCCCCCUGUAGUCAGUGGGAGCAGACAGACAGCUCUUGGAGGGACAGAGCCCAUUUUUCUUAGAUGUGGCAGGCUAUUUCUCUACGUUGACUAGAGACAGAAUCUACAAAAUCACCAAAGACCAGAGCUGAAAUCACUGUAGAUAAAUUACACCCCUGAAGUCUUUAAAUUGAUUAGCUUUCUGAAAAAUAGGGUAUAGUUCAAUUGCAAGGAGCAGAGCUUGUCGUUCUUCUUUCACUGUACGAAGCAAAAUAAAUUCCCCCUGGUCUUGGAAAGCUCUGUGUAUCAGUCACUCUUCUGCAAAACAUCAGAUUAAAUAAUUACAGUGGUCCCAUCCAGACUUAAAUUCUAUUAAUUAAAGAAAAAAAGAAAUGCAAAGGCCAAUUAGAUCUCAUAGAAUUUCUACACAUGAGAAAUAGCAAAGAUAAUAAAAGUCAGAUUUUCAAAGGUAAGGCGCUUUCAUUGCCAGUAAAAUUUUUGCAUAUGUCUAUAAUUCUUGUGAUAACAGGCACUAGCAUAAAAAAAAAAAAAGAAGAUUGAUUUCCUUUUCAGAUUUCAUGAGGUUGAUUUAGGUAACACGUUGUUUGAAAGAGAGUAAUAUUAACAAUGUAUAGAUAACACAGCUGAGCAAGAACACAAGGUACUAUAAUUUACAAGAGUGCAGAAUGGCUGAAAUGCUGAAAUGAUUAAAUUUAAAGAGUACGGAGUAUUUAUAUUCAAGAAAUAAAUCUUAAGAUAAAGUCAUAAGAAGAUGUUUCAGCUUUUUUCACUAUAGAAAUGAUACAUACGGCACGUAGUGGAGAACUACCAUAGUGGUUCUGAUUUAUAAGCACAUCAAAAUUUGCCUGAACAUCACAUAUCCAUUUAAUUUUAUUUCCUCUUUUUUUAUGAUUAUAUUUUAUUUUUUUCUUUGUUUGCUCAUAUUGUGAUGUAUGCUUGGAAACAAAUUAUUUAAAAUGCAUUUCUGUCAUUUGUUUAUGGACCAUCACAGAACUGGGAGGAGGUCAGAGGAGCAGAAGUGGUAUGAAUCCUCAUCAUAAACCUUCUGAGAAAUGCUUGAUUCUAGUGAACUCUCACACCUCUUGAUUCCUUUCUGUGUUAAUGAUUUACAUAGGAUCAUACGCAUAGCCAACGGUUCUGAGCCACUUACAGUAAGCUGUCAAAGAACUCUCUCGUUGGUGCACGCAGUUCUCUCUCAAACACGCCAGCUAAUGACUUAUCAGAUGAUGAUUAUCUCUAGCAAGUAUCUAGCAGAUAUUUCGCUUGAGUUAGUAUCACCAGGAUGACUAUCUGGAAUGUGCUUGUUCAAAAGUAUCUUUGCUGCCUUUAAAAAGGCCUCAGGCACAUCUUAUUGUUCUGUGGAAGUAGAAUGAAGAAGACUUCAGACACAAUAUUUUGUCCUUUCAGAAUGAGAUUUGCCAUAGUAAUAUUUAAAACCCAUUUGGAGUUAAAUGUUACCUGAGACAAUAUGCAAACAAUACAAAAGUGGAUGACUUUGUAAAAGCCCCAACGCAAUACUGCUCAUGCAUUCUAUGAAACUUCCGAAGCAGGAAACACUUUUGGCUCCAGAACAGUAUUGUCUUCUGAUUUCCUGAACUCAGAGAUGCAGGCAUAUGGAUAGGGAGUACAGCUCAGUAAAGAUUUUGGGCAAAUGGCCAGACUGGAGGAAGCUUCCCAACACUUUCCAGCCAGGAAGCCUCAGUUGACAAUCCUAGUGCCAGGCCACAGCACUGCCUUUCAUUCACACUAUGAGUGAUGGUUUGCUCAGAGAACAGCUUCCUUGUUGCACUGACUGAGGCCAGCAUAGGACAGAAAUGCCAGAAGGCACUGUGUGUAUGGCCUCCUUUGCAAGUUGUUCAUCCAGGCACACAGAAAAUAACCAGAAAGGACAAGGCACAUGCACUAGGUCCUGCCAAGUUGUCAAGAGAAGUUCAUGUGGUACAAUGCAGAAGCAGGACAGAUUCCAUGUGAAUAAAGCCUCUAUUUCCCUUUGUAGAGAGGCACAUGCCUUACUAGGAUGUGUACUGUUUCCUUUCCAACAACCAGUGCCUCUUAGGAUUUGCUGAUGAGUGCAAGUUUCUGUUGCUUUGGAAAAAAUUGUUGCAAAAGAUGAUGAGGUGGUGUAUUAACUCCUCUCUGCUUUUCAGUUGGCUUCACUUUCCAUGGGAGGACUACUUUACUCAAAUAUUCAAGAUGAAAAAAGUGCCUUCGCUGUUACUCUUUUAAAAAUAUAUAUUAUUAGUAUUGUGAUCCCUCAAGAGAACUGUUGCACACACAGCAACCAGCUAGUAAAGGGCAGAGAUAGCAAUCAGGAAUGAUUAAACCGUAAAAAAAUGUCAGUGGCAUAACAUGACCUAACUGUGAUUCCACAAAUUAUAGAUGAAUGCAGAGGCUGAAAAAGCAAAAGCAGAAAACACACUGUAAUCUUUAUAUUCAUAUCCCCCAAAUUUUACCAAAUUCUUUGGACCAGUUGCAGACAUUUACAGAAACUAGCUGCUGUUUUCUGUACUUUGUCCAUUGAGAAAUGGGUUUGGGUAGAAAAGUUGACAAGAGAGCUUGAGAUUAAACUUGUCCUCGUCUUUAGAGGUCAGAUAGGUCAUAUUUACAGAGACACAUGAGCAAAUUCCUACCCCCAGUGUGCUGAUGAAAACAGGUUGGGAUGGAACAACAUGACCUUUACAACUCUGCUACUAAGAAAAGCCACGUGUGCAAAGGUACACACAAGAAGGAGGGGGAAGAAGUGGAAGCUUGCUCUCAGUGUUAGAUUAACUCCUGCUUCUUAGUGACAGGCUAUCAAGUAUGUGCUUGAGCUGAGAAUCCUACAAGUGCCAUGAACAGUACCAGACUAACCUCUGCUCUGAGGCUUGCUUGUGAAAGACAGGGCAGGUUUGCUUGGUUUGCUCUUGGAUUCAUGGCAAGACCUAUCCAGAAAAUAGGAUGCUGUACAUACCUGACACAGCUUCUCUUCUGAGAAAAAAUCCUGAAGGUUUCACCAUAUUUUGUUAUGAUAUAUCCAAGAAAGAGAACUAGACUGUCACAUUUUCAUUCUAAAAAUAAUCAAAACCAGCACAUGGCCCAACUGAAACACAAGAGAAUCAUUUUCAGAUUUUCACUUUGUCUUAAAUUUUGUGAUAGAGUUGUUUUAUGUUAAUUUUGCAAGAAAAGCUAGAAAAUGUCUGUUGAGCUCACAGCUUAGGGUUGGGGUUCUGAGGUGGGAGCCUGGCGUGCACUCCCACAGUCAGUCAAGACAAGGAAAAGCUCUCAGGCUUUCCCAUUUUAGAUUCAUUCUGGACUGAGGCAAAAAUUUUAUCAGUUCAGAGUAAGGUUUGAAAAAAACUCUGCCUUUAAACCCUACUACUUCCAGUCUAAGACAGUUUACUACUGCCUAAGAGACAAAAGAGUUAAUCCCUUUCCUGACAUGUUCACAGGACUCUGCAUUUCACAGAGCGUUCAAAAACAGAAAUGAAUGAUUCUUCUCAGUAUUAUUAAAAGGUAAAAAACCUUUCUAUCUUUAAAAGGUAAAAAACUUUCUUUAUGGACAGAGAAGAGUGGAGUUUUUUGAGCUGUAGAAGAAAUAUUACCUCUAGAGUCUAUGCAUUAGCUACUAUAAAUGGCUUAGAAAUCUUGCUCUGAGAGAAGACAGGUGCUACUGCUACAAAAACCUUCUUCUUAUACACCUUCUGACAUGAGUGCUGAUGUACACACUGCUUCCUUCAGCUUCUCCACAUGUUACUGAAACCAGUCUAAAUGCAAAGUCCUGUCCUUCCCAGACACAUCUCCAAGGUAAAAGACUUGAGGUUCUCAAGUGAAGGAUAACUCUCAUACAAUUUUGGUGCAGUUUAUACGACAGAAGGAAGGUGUGCCACCCAAAGGAACCUGGACAAGAUUGAAAAGUGGGCCCACAUGAACACAGCGAGGUUCAACAAUCCAAGUCUAAGGUAUUGCACUUGGAUUGGAGCAGUGCCAGACAUCCCAGACUGGAAGAAGGACAUGGAGGUUUGGAGGACAAAAAGCUGGACAUGAGCCAGCAGUGUGCGUUUCCAGCUCAGAAGACCUACUGUAUUCUCAGUUGCUUCAAAAGAGGGAGGGCCAGCAGGGAGAGGGAAAGGACUGUUGCCCUCUGCUUUGCCUUCAUGGGGCCCUGCCUGCAGCACUGCUUCCAGGCCUGGGGCCCCCAGCACAAGAAAGAUGCUGAGCUGUUGGAGCGGUUCCAGAGAAGGGCCAUGAAGAUGAUCAGAGGGCUGGAGCACCUCUCUUACAAAGACAGGCUCAGGGACUUGGGAUUGUUCAUCCUGGAGAACAGAAGGCUCCUGGAGGACCUCACUGCUGCCUUCCAGUACUCAAAAGGAACUUGCAAACAGGAGGGAAACCAACUUUUUACAAAGGUAGAUAGUGAUAGAACAAAGAGGAAUGGCUUUAAACUAAAAUAAAGGAGGUUUAGGUUAGAUGUUCGGAGGAAAUUCUUUACUCCAAGGGUGAAGAGGCACUAGCACAGGCUGCCCAGAGAAGCUGUGAGUGUCCCAUCCCUAGAGGUGCUUAAGGCCAGGUUGGAUGGGGUCCUGGGCAGCCUGAUCUGGUGGGAGAAGACCAGCCCACGGCAGGGGAGGUUGGUACUGAAUUGUUUUUAAUGUCCCUUCUCAUCUAGGCCAUUUUGUGAUUCUGCGGUCCCUGAAAGAUAUUUGUAGGGUUUUUUUACAAUAUUGUUUUGGAGUGGUAACAGUUCUGAAAUUGUGGAAUUCCCUAGAAAAUAGAAAAAACUGUUCCCUCUCAGCACACAAUGUGUUUUAAAAUGUCUAGCAGUUCCUCAGUUUUCAAAAAAGCACACACAUGAUGCAUCCCACAGCAUCUGGUAGGAAACGUAACAUGAGAAAUUCUCUUGAUUAUACAGCUGGAUACAACAGGGCCACAGAUUCAUAAGUAAGCUAUUAAAAUUGUAAGGUCAAUGCAUUUUUCUUUAUCCUGGUAUGUCAUUUGUAUGCUCCAGCAUUUUGUCAACUAAGCCUUUUUUCCUCUUGAGCAACCUUAUUGACGAUAAAAUGUACGAAAUCCAGGUGUAGCCUUGCUUGCAGCUUAAGAAAGCCUUUGAAGAGGCCACAGAAUCAUAUAUCAUUAAGAACUGCAUGAAGUAUCAAAAAAACUUUUGGCCAGCCCAACAAGCCUGCAAAUAAAGGCCAUGCCAUCAGUCUGGAAACAUGAAGCAGCCCAUCAAGGUUAUUUUGGUAUAUUUUGCAUUUUAGCACUUGACUACCAGGUUUCUUUCAAAACCACCACUAAAACACCCAAUUUCAGCAGUGAUGUAUGAAUGAGGCUCAGUCUGCAAAUCAAAUAGUUUUUCAAGUUCAGGGUUGAUUGCAGCCAAGCCCUUUCAUCAUCAUCAGGGUGUGCGAUAGGUAAAUGGCCUAAUUCUCACUUCUACCAGAGUGCCAGUGCUGAUACAGCCCUCACUAUCAUUGUGAUUAUAAAGCUACCUGACAGCGAUACAACACUGUCCUCUUCUAAUACAGAAAUAGGAGUUAACAAUACAUCUGCAUUCACACUAUGGCCAGUCUAAACUUGGACGUUUUACUGGCAGAGACAUGCUGGUUCAGAGUGCAGAGAAAAGUGUCACACACCUCUCUGACAGCUGUGCUGGCAGGCACCCUGGAGGAGUGCUUAGAUAGACAAAACAAGUUUCUGCAGGGUAGAAGUAGCUGUCUGCAUAAGCUUGUCUCAUAUGAGAAGCAGGGUACUUUGAACUGGCUUAGCACCCUUUCACUGAGUUUGACCCAAUGUCUAAAGCCAUAGCUGUGUCAUUAAAGAUACUUAAUUCCAGGAAAUAGUAAAAGCAGUAACAGCGAGAGAGCUCUUUUGCCAGUAUAGAUAUCUUCCCUCAAGGGUAGGAAGUGCAUCAGUAGAACUACCAUAAAUAAGAUCUGAAGGGCACGGGUUAUACCUCUUGAACUACAACAAUGUUGUUAAAAUGGUCCAGAAGAUGAGGCAGUCUGAGACUACUCUUUGACUGCAGAUGACUUCAGUUAGAGAUGCUUUAGGACAAUGUAUCAAAAUAGCUGUAGAUUAUUAAGCUGUAAGUUUUAUUAGGUGGUUUCAAUAAUGCUGUUGCAAGAGAGUAAAAUUGCAGGCUCAGACAGUGACAGUGAAGUUGAACUCAAACUGGGAUGGGGAUUCCCAAGGAUGGCAAAUUUGGACAUCCCAUUUGUGACUCAGAAGCUGAGGAGACUCCAAAAGCUUCCCUGCUGCCUUGUGUACAAAACUCUGCUGUGUACAUUCUUCCUCCCAUUGUUUUACAGUGCUAAAAUUAGUGCAGAGCGACUGUGUAAACAUGUAUGGCAAUAAAGAAACUUUGCUGAAUGUGGUUUUGUUUUUCAUAAUUUCAGCAUUCUGCUCUGAAACAGAAAACUGUUGACAUUAAAUCAGACCUUCAUCACCCUGCUAGAUGCCCUGACCUUCUGCAGCAAAUCCUAGAAAAGAUUUUGACCUUUUCAUGACAAAGCACCAUAUAAAGAAUGGAUUCUGAUCAGUGCUGAGGUACUUUGAAUUACACAGCAUCUGAAAAAGCACAUCUUCUAUUCUAGAGAUUGGUUCUGCUUUCCGUGAACUUCCAAUUGAACAAGACUCUCCAGGAACAAGGCUGCUGAAUAGAAUUAGACAAAUCCAAGACGUGGAACAAAACUUUGAACUUUGUGGGUUUUUUGUUUGUUUGUUUGUUUUGUUUUGUUUUUGGGAGAGUGCUGUUUUUUCAUUUAAAUCACCAAAAUGCGUGCAGAGCUCAUAUCCAAAUCAUUUCAUGGACAUAUAAGUAGAUUUAGUAGUGUUACCUGUUAUAUAGGUAGUGCUUGAAGAUGCUACUCUCAAUUGUUUAUACAGUUGGAAAAAAAGCUCACUUGGGCUGGAAUUUUCUUUGCUGGUUACCUAUUGUAGGUUUCCGAAUGUUCUUUAAACUUCAGUCCAAAUCACUUCUAAGAAUUAUUUCUAAAGGAAAUCUGAAGACUGUACAGAGUUGCUCCAAUAAACCUCAUGCCUGAUACAGUGGAAAUCCCCACACUUGCUGUAAACAACUGGCUCGGAGACCUGAAAGCAAUCUGACUGUUGCAAGCCUACUUUUGUUGUUAUUUCACAUUUCUCAGUUCAUCUACAGUAGACACAGUCUGAAACUGUGUGUGAGCCAUUUAAUUCUCUUAUCAGUUAUGAUAGCAUAAUACUAAUUUUGGAAAUUGAAAUACCUAAGAAAAGAUGCGUGCCAAUACUCAUCCUGUGGAAAACAGCCCUCUGUUCUCUCACUUGUGUAAGCAGCUGGCAGGGGUACACGCCAGUACUACAUCAUGUCCUGUCAGUGGUCUGUUUUGUCCUAGAACCCAGGAAUAUCCUCAGGUUAAUACCAUGGCAGCAAAGGGACUUUUGCAGAGAAAUAACCUUUGUCCUGUCUCUUGUUAGCUGCUGGUGUCCAAUUGGGAUGAUGAUUUUUCUAUCUGGAAGUAUUCCUGUUUGUACACUGAUCUGACCCUAUAGCAUUCAC